UGUGAGCUCGAUGAGUAGGGCGGGACACGUGGUAUCCUGUCUGAAUAUGGGGGGACCAUCCUCCAAGGCUAAAUACUCCUGACUGACCGAUAGUGAACCAGUACCGUGAGGGAAAGGCGAAAAGAACCCCGGCGAGGGGAGUGAAAAAGAACCUGAAACCGUGUACGUACAAGCAGUGGGAGCACGCUUAGGCGUGUGACUGCGUACCUUUUGUA
RNAcentral lists this ribosomal RNA (215 nucleotides) under Escherichia coli. Its description in RNAcentral is "partial 23S ribosomal RNA". It matches the Rfam family "Bacterial large subunit ribosomal RNA", at positions 398 to 612 of the family's 2925-position model. The record is from RNAcentral. Lineage: Bacteria; Pseudomonadati; Pseudomonadota; Gammaproteobacteria; Enterobacterales; Enterobacteriaceae.